CACAUGCGUGGUGGGCUAAAGUUAACAAAAUAAAAACGGCUGUCUUUUUUUUUCUCGUCAAGCCACCGCAUCGAUCAUGAUCGAAGCAUAGAGCACCCCUGCUAUAGUCUAUCCUACAGUUAACAAAUAUACAAUAGUUUUGCUGAAAAUCAUGUUUAUCAUGUAUUAGAGCCUCUUCCCACUUCACAGCCUUAAUGGAACAUUCAGCAAACCCUCAUAAGAAUUCACCUUCUGCUCUGUCAAUUCUUUACCCCUGAACUCUACAAUGGCACACAAUUCUACUGUCCUCUCGUGUCUUGACACGUUACAAUUUAUUUAUUAUUUCAGCAACCUUGAAUGUCUUGAGCUUCAUCUCCUCCUCACAGCGGUAUUAUGGCAAGUCUCUACCCUAAGGAAAUGACUCUUUCACCAUUCCUGAGAUUGGCCUGUUGACAGUGGAACAGGCAAUUGCAGACUAUGCUGUCAUGAUCAGCGUGUUGAAACGUCAGAUGGCAGCCACAGAUAGUCCUGUCAUUGCUUUUGGUGGAAGUUCUGGUGGAAUGCUGUCUGUCUACAUGAGAAUAAAGUAUCCAAACCUUGUGGCUUGAGCUCUUGCUGCUAGUGCUCCCAUACUGUCAACUGCAGGGCUGGGGGAGCCUACACAGUUUUUUAGAGAUGUCACGACUGAUUUUGAGAACAUUUUUAGAUUGCACAAGUGCUGUUAAAGGAGCUUUUUAUCACCUGAAAGAAUUAUAGGAAUUGCAAGGUUGGUUGUGAAACCAUGCUGCGUGGAACUGAUCUGCUUGCUAACCUGAGGGAUACUGCAGCGAUUGUGUACAACUCAACUGGGUCGCUGACCUAUUUUGAUGUGUACCGUUUGUAUGUGGAGUGUGCCGAUCCCACUGGCUGUGGACGAGGCCAAGACAGCAUGGCCUGGGACUACCAGCCCUUUUCAGUGCUAGCAACAUUAUUUUCUCCAAUGGUGAUCUGGACCCGUGGGCAAAUGGAGGCGUGCGGAAGUCUUUGAGUUCAUCAUUGAUAGCCGUCAACAUUGCUGAGGGAGCCCAUCAUCUAGAUUUAAGAGGGUCAAAUGAUGCGGAUCCAUCUUCAGUCAUUGAAGCCAGGAAGACUGAAGCAGACCUUAUUACACAGUGGGUGGAGAUGGCGAGGAAACAAAUACAACAAUUGCCCUGAUUGUUUUAGUUUUCCUGUCUUGUACACAUUUCUUAAAUAGAUUUUCAAUGUAUGUUUGUAUGCUGCAUUCCAGUUACACAAUGAGAAAACUCAGCUGAAAACGUUACGGGGCCCAUUCAAAAUAAAAUCUUAAAAAUAUAAAUAUGCGCUGCAAGAAUUCUACCCAACGCUAGUGAUAUGGGACUGUCAUUGUAUCUGAUUUUAGUGAUAUUAAAAACGAUCUCGCUGUUAUCACUCAUUCAUUCAAUCCACUUCUGAGAUACAUUAAGCUAUCCCAUGAUGCCACCUGAGAGUACAUGAAGCAUGUCCAAAGAAAAUAUCUCCAAACGUGGCUGGUAUGACCUUUAUUUCAAUUGGACAAAAAGAAUAAGAAAAAUAUCGAGUGAUAAUA
Syngnathoides biaculeatus (alligator pipefish) is the source of this 1564-nucleotide long non-coding RNA. RefSeq lists it as uncharacterized. The record is from RefSeq and is a predicted model, not a curated record. The transcript is spliced from 8 exons. NCBI's taxonomy places the organism in Eukaryota, Metazoa, Chordata, Actinopteri, Syngnathiformes, Syngnathidae.